RNAcentral lists this small RNA (109 nucleotides) under Prolemur simus (greater bamboo lemur). RNAcentral describes it as "Y RNA (ENSPSMG00000021412.1)". Lineage: Eukaryota; Metazoa; Chordata; Mammalia; Primates; Lemuridae. The record is from RNAcentral.
GGCACAUGGUCAAAAAUGAAGGCUUUGAUUGUUCACAGUCAGUUACAGAUUGAACUCCUUGUUCUACUACUUUCCCCGCCUCCUCACUACUGCACUUGACUAGUCUUAA